GGUGGGGUUGUUAGGAAAUAUGCAACUUGUAUUCCCCGAGGGCCAAUGGCCAAUAUAUAUACAUGUACAAAUGGUAAAUAUGCAGGAAACCCCUCAUACAACAAGGAAAAUAUACAUGCUACAAUUAACUCUUAACACCCCCCCCCUCAAACACAUGGUGGAUAAACAACACUAAGUUUUGAGAGAUAGAAGACAUGUUGCGCUCUAGUCUGGGUCUUCGUAAAGAAAUCCGCCAACUGUAACUCGGAAGGCACAUACUGAAGAGCAAUAACCUGAUCCUGCACACCAGCGCCCACAUACAAAGCAUCAACACCAAUAUGCUUGGAGGUCAGGCUUCACAAGGCCGCGCACAAUGCUAAUAGCACCUGUGCUGUCAGACAAUAGUAGAGUAGGUGUAGUGACAUAAAUACGAAAGUCCUGAAGUAACCACCGUAACCAAGUCACCUCUGUCGUCAAAAGAGCCAUAGCUCACAACUCAGCCUAUGCACUCGAACGGGAAACUGCAGUCUGCUUCUUCGUCUUCCAUGCAAUGAGAGAACCAUCAAGAAAAACACAAUAAGAAGGAAGUGAACGGGGAUCCGAGGGAUCUAUAGCCCAUAUAGCAUCCGAAUAGGCUUGAAGCUAUAAGGAACCAGAGCGAGGAAAGAACAUGUAGUGAGAGGUCGUGCCCCGAAGAUAUCGGAGAACACAAAGGAGGUGGCUAUAGUGAAACGAAGUGGGAGCAGAGACAAACUGACUCAAAAUAUGGACCGGAUAACAGAUAUCCGGACAAGUGACAGCUAGAUAGACAAGAUUCCCAACAAGAUGAUGAUAACACGUCGGAUCAAACAAGGGGCCAUCAUCAGUAUCACGGAGGUGAACAUUGAGCUCCAUGGGAGUCUCAAUAGUGCGCAUUAGUAAGAGCAGCACGAGCAAGAAGAUCCUGGAUAUACUUUUCCUGGGAAAUAGAAAAGCCAUUAGAGGUAGAAGAGACCUCGAUCCCAAGAAAGUAGCGAAGAGGGCCAAGAUCAAACAUAAGAAACUGCUCACCAAGACGAGCCUUCACAAAGCCUAUAUACUCGGGGUCGUCGCCAGUGAUAAUCAUGUCAUCAAUGUAUACAAGAAGAGUCCGACCACGAGUAUAAUGGUGGACAAACAUCGCUGUAUCAUGAGCACUCGCUGAAAAACCAGCGGCAAUCACCACAAAGGUAAAACACUCAAACCAGGCGUGGGGGGCCUUGCUUAAGGCCAUAGAGAGAGCAAUGAAGACGUCAUACCAUGCCAUCAGGAACCAAAUACUCAAGUGGGGGCUGCAUGUAAACCUUCUCACGCAACUCACCAUUAAGAAAGGCUCUUAACAUCAAGCUGAGACACUGACCAGUGGAGACCAGAGGUCACGACAAGUGUGCGAAUAGUGGUCAUAUGGGCCACAGGAGCUAAAGUCUCAUAACUGCCAUGCUCCUGUUGAAAGCCACGAGCCACAAGACGAGCUUUGUAACGCUCAAGAGAACCAUCGGAGCCAGUCUUAACCUUGUAGACCCACUUACAACUGAUGGGACGAACACCGGGAGGAAGAGAAACAAGAUCCCACAUGCCGGUAUGCUCAAGAGCAGCAAGCUCCUCUGCCAUCGCAAACUGCCAUUCUGGAAGUAGCAAAUGCCUCUCCGUCACGUGGUGCCACACGGAUGGAGCAAACAUAACAACACCCCAGCUUAACCAGAGGCACUUAUCUGAAGCCACACCUCGGAUAGAACAGUUCUUGGUCACAAAGAUGCUUAACAAUUGUGCAAGAUCACAACCUUUGUCAUCGGUGGUGAGCAAGGUGUUGUUGGUGGUGGAGGCACAACCAUAACAAUCACAUCAUGACCACUCUCGCUGUCUCGUUGCCCUUCCUCUAGUGCUAACACUACAAUAUUCUCCAAUCAUCCAAUGUGGUUUAGAAGCUGGCAUGGCAGAGAUAGCUUCCAAUAUGAAUCUAAGGCUCUUACCAUGAGAUUGAUCUCACUUUGCUGCUUCUCUAACUUCAAUAAUGCUUUUUGCACGCUUAAGAAAGCAAACAUUGCACAUUCACUGGUUACUAGAUAAUGCAUGUUCAUGUUGAGUAGUUUGUGUCCUCUAAUUAUGGACUUUAAGUGAAGGACCCUUGUGUCUAUGGGCCCCGAACCCGAACAAAUACAUACACUUUAUUGGUAUUUAGUUUAUUGGUUUUAUCCUGAACCAACAGAAUCCCUUAAGUUGAUUUGCAUGCCCGGGGUAAAUUGAUAUUUUGGCUAAAGUUAAUCUUCAUCGGAGUAGCUUACCAUACCUCCUUUGUCAUGUAAUCCCUUCAGUUAAUCUAAUGGUGUACUUAGGAACCAUGAUUUUAGUGGAUGAAGAUGGUGACUUGCAUUCGUAAGGUGGCCUAAGAGAAAUUUGGAGUGUCUAGGGGAAGUAGAAGUGAAGUUAAAGGUACCUGGUGGUGGAAUGAUGCUGUCCAGAAGGCUAUUAAGGAGAAGAAAGACUGUUUCAGACGCCUAUACCUAGAUAGGAGUGUAGACAACAUAGAGAACUACAGGAUGGCAAAGAAGGCCGCAAAGCGAGCUGUGAGUGAAGCAAGGGGUCGGGCGUAUGAGGACCUCUACCAACGGUUAGACACGAAGAAAGGCGAAAGGGACAUCUAUAAGAUGACCAAGAUCCAAGAGAGGAAGACAAAGCAGACCAGCUCGUGGUGAAGGACGAGGAGAUUAAGCAUAGAUGAUGGGAGUACUUCGACAAGUUGUUCAAUGGGGAGAAUGAGAGCUCUACCAUUGAAUUGGACGACUCCUUUGAUGAUAGCAACAGACGUUUUGUGCAGCAAAUCCAGGAGAUGAGAUCAAGGAGGCUUUAAAAAGGACAAGAGGAGGCAAGGAACGGGCCCUGAUUGUAUCCCCAUUGAGGUGUGGGGAGGCCUCGGGGGCAUAGCGACAGUAUGGCUAACCAAGCUUUUCAACCUCAUUUUUCGGGCAACCGCAAUUGAGACGGAGUAUAUUAGUACCAAUCUUCAAGAAGAAGGGGGGGGGUGUUCAGAGUUGUACUAAUUACCGUGCAAUGAAGCUGAUGAACCAUACAAUGAAGCUAUGGGAGAGAGUCAUUGAGCGUCGCUUAAUAAGAAUGACAAGCAUGACCAAAAAUCAGUUUGGUUUCAUGCUUGGGAGGUUGACCAUGGAAGCCAUUUUCUUGGUUCGACGACUUAUGGAGAGAUACAGGGAGCAAAAGGACCUGCAUAUGGUGUUCAUUGACUUGGAGAAGGCCUAUGAUAAGAUACCGUGGAAUGUCAUGUGGUGGGCCUUGGAGAAACAUAGAGUACUAGCAAAGUACAUUACCCUCAUCAAGGACAUGUACGAUAAUGUUGUGACAAGUGCUAGAACAAGUGAUGGCGACACUGAUGACUUCCCGAUUAAAAUAAGACUACACCAGGCCCUUGUCUUUUUCCUUUGGGAUGGAUGGCCACAAGGGAUAUACAAGGAGAUAUCCCAUGGUGUAUGCUCUUUGCGGAUAGUGUGGUGCUAGUCAAUGACAGUCAGACAAGGGUCAAUAGGAAGUUAGAACUAUGGAGACAAACCUUGGAAUCGAAAGGUUUUGGACUUAGUAUAACUAAAACCGAGUACAUGAGGUGCGGUUUCAGUACUACUAGGCACGAGGAGGAGGAGGAGGUUAGCCUUGAUGGGCAGGUGGUGCCUCAGAAGGAUACCUUUCGAUAUUUGGGGUCAAUGUUAUAGAAGGAUGGGGAUAUCGAUGAAGAUGUGAAUCAUCGAACCAAAGCCGGAUGGUUGAAGUGGUGCCAAGCUUACGGCAUUCUCUGUGACAAGAGAGUGCAACAAAAGCUAAAAGGCAAGUUCUAUUGGACGGUGAUUCGACCCGCAAUGCUAUAUGGCGCUGAGUGUUGGCCGACUAAAAGGCGAUAUGUUCAACAGUUAGGUGUGGCGGAGAUGUGCAUGUUGAGAUGGAUGUGUGGCCACACAAGGAAGGACCGAGUCCGGAAUGAUGAUAUACGAGAUAGAUUUGGGGUAGCACCGAUUGAAGAGAAGCUUGUCCAACAUCGUCUGAGAUGGUUUGGGCAUAUUCAACACAGGCCUUCAGAAGCUCCAGUGCAUAGCGGACGGCUAAAGUGUGCUGAUAAUGUCAAGAGAGGUCGGGGUAGACCGAACUUGAUAUGGGAGGAGUCCGUAAAGAGAGAUCUGAAGGACUGGAGUAUCACCAAAGAACUAGCCAUGGAUAGGGCUGCGUGGAAGCUUGCUAUCCAUGUGCCAGAACCAUGAGUUAGUCGCGAGAUCUUAUGGUUUUUAUCUUUAGCCUACCCAAUUUGUUUGGGACUAAAGGCUUUGUUGUUGUUGUUGUGGUCUCCCACUCCACUCUGUCAUUUAAACCAGUGCAGCAGAAGUAGAAGCCAUGGUGUUGUAGCUUGGAUUCCAAAUGUUAUAAACAUUAGUUCAUAAUGCGGAUAAACAAUGCAUGAAGGCCUGACAGGUGACAGGGAUUGUGAGAUUUAGAUGUGAGAGAGACUAAUUAAUUAUUCUUGCCUAAUAAAAGGUACUGCUCCCUCCAGUUCUCUAUAUGUUGUCCUUUUGGACAUUCAAAUACUCUGAAACACAACUUUGACAGAUAAUUUCCACCUAUGUCCAAAACGAUAAUUUUCAGGGAAUCAGAGGAAAUAAACGAUGUUAACCAUUAACAAUAUUAUCUAAGAAAAAAAUCCACUCCAGUCUUGCCAAUUUUGUUUCAAUAUAACCGUAAUAAUGCAAACACACUAACUUACAUCCUUGGUAUUUGUCUUCUAGUAGUGCAUAUUAGUAUAUUUUAAAUCAUCAUUCACUGCAAAGUGCACAUAACUUAGCCUUAGAUAAGGCCUUCCUUUCUUGAUUCUGCAUUUGCACUGGGGCAAUCUGUUAGCACUUGUCUUAUCCACCGAACCAUUUGAUCUUAACUACGCCUGAGUCUUGCUCUACAUAACUGCCGAAACCAAUCUUUGCAGGGGUCUCUCCAACUUCCAUUGCUGUUCAGUCGCCUUACAUUGCUCAGGUACAACUUUUAAGAGAUAGACUAGAAGAAUAUCCAGAGGCUUUGGGUGUUGAGGUGUCAACCAUAGAUAGCUUCCAGGGGAGGGAGGCAGAUGCGGUGGUCAUAUCAAUGGUUCGGUCAAACUCCUUGGGAGCGGUAGGGUUCCUUGGCGACAACAGGCGCAUGAACGUAGCCAUUACCAGGGCACGGAGGCAUGUCGCACUUGUGUGCGAUAGUUCUACGAUUUGCAACAAUGAGUUCCUGGCCAGGCUCCUUCACCAUAUCCGUCAGCAUGGCCAAGUAAGGCAUGUUGAACCUGGUUCCUACGGUGGUGAUUAUGGCCUUGGCUUCAGCCCACCUGCUUUGCCUUCCAUCAAUUAGUGCUCCGCUCACUUGCCAGCAAAUCGGCAAUGCUUCAGUAUUCUGUUUCUCCGCAAAUCGGCAAUGCUUCAGUGUUCUGUUACUCCAUGGCUCCAUGCAUAUGUCACCGCAGUUCUUGAGUGGUAAAACUGGGAGGUCCAUCAUUUACUACGGUUCUGAGGCUGGUACUUUUGGCGAUUGGCUGUCCUGAAUGAACUGUGUGGCCAGACCAAGUUGUUUAUCAUGCAGUUUUUGCGUUUAGCAGCAGAAACAAUUAACUGGCCUGGGGUUUGUUUUUUUGAACUUAACUGGCCUGGGUUGUAAUAUACGUACUGCUUACCUGACGAUGGUUGAAUAUUAUCGAGUGUUGCACACUGGAAUAUUCGAUUACAAAGAUGUACACUAA
This is a non-coding RNA of Triticum urartu, 5761 nucleotides long. NCBI's taxonomy places the organism in Eukaryota, Viridiplantae, Streptophyta, Magnoliopsida, Poales, Poaceae. The record is from RefSeq and is a predicted model, not a curated record.